UUAGCAUGGAAUAAUGGAAUAGGACGUGCGGGUUCUAUUUUGUUGGUUUCUAGGACCGCCGUAAUGAUUAAUAGGGAUAGUCGGGGGCGUCAGUAUUCAGCUGUCAGAGGUGAAAUUCUUGGAUUUGCUGAAGACUAACUACUGCGAAAGCAUUCGCCAAGGAUGUUUUCAUUAAUCAGGGAACGAAAGUUAGGGGAUCGAAGACGAUCAGAUACCGUCGUAGUCUUAACCAUAAACUAUGCCGACUAGGGAUCGGACGGGAUUCUAUGAUGACCCGUUCGGCACCUUACGAGAAAUCAAAGUUUUUGGGUUCUGGGGGGAGUAUGGUCGCAAGGGUGAAACUUAAAGAAAUUGACGGAAGGGCACCACAAGGCGUGGAGCCUGCGGCUUAAUUUGACUCAACACGGGGAAACUCACCAGGUCCAGA
This 427-nucleotide ribosomal RNA is filed under the name uncultured fungus. RNAcentral's name for it is "SSU rRNA". It matches the Rfam family "Eukaryotic small subunit ribosomal RNA", at positions 804 to 1228 of the family's 1831-position model. Lineage: Eukaryota; Fungi. The record is from RNAcentral.